Molecule: ribosomal RNA, 752 nt
Filed under: uncultured bacterium
Lineage: Bacteria
Description: bacterial SSU rRNA
Rfam family: Bacterial small subunit ribosomal RNA
Source: RNAcentral
AGUCGACGGUAGAGGGGGCAACCCCUCGAGAGUGGCGAACGGGUGAGUAAUAUAUCGGAACGUGCCCAGUCGUGGGGGAUAACGUAGCGAAAGUUACGCUAAUACCGCAUACGAUCUAAGGAUGAAAGCGGGGGAUCGCAAGACCUCGCGCGAUUGGAGCGGCCGAUAUCAGAUUAGGUAGUUGGUGGGGUAAAGGCUCACCAAGCCAACGAUCUGUAGCUGGUCUGAGAGGACGACCAGCCACACUGGAACUGAGACACGGUCCAGACUCCUACGGGAGGCAGCAGUGGGGAAUUUUGGACAAUGGACGCAAGUCUGAUCCAGCCAUUCCGCGUGCAGGAUGAAGGCCCUCGGGUUGUAAACUGCUUUUGUACGGAACGAAAAGGUUUCUAUUAAUACUAGGAGCUCAUGACGGUACCGUAAGAAUAAGCACCGGCUAACUACGUGCCAGCAGCCGCGGUAAUACGUAGGGUGCAAGCGUUAAUCGGAAUUACUGGGCGUAAAGCGUGCGCAGGCGGUUAUAUAAGACAGAUGUGAAAUCCCCGGGCUCAACCUGGGAACUGCAUUUGUGACUGUAUAGCUGGAGUGCGGCAGAGGGGGAUGGAAUUCCGCGUGUAGCAGUGAAAUGCGUAGAUAUGCGGAGGAACACCGAUGGCGAAGGCAAUCCCCUGGGCCUGCACUGACGCUCAUGCACGAAAGCGUGGGGAGCAAACAGGAUUAGAUACCCUGGUAGUCCACGCCCUAAACGAUGU